GUCGUGAGAUGUUGGGUUAAGUCCCGCAACGAGCGCAACCCUUGUCCCUAGUUGCUACGCAAGAGCACUCUAGGGAGACUGCCGGUGACAAACCGGAGGAAGGUGGGGAUGACGUCAAGUCCUCAUGGCCCUUAUGGGUAGGGCUUCACACGUCAUACAAUGGUCGGAACAGAGGGUCGCCAACCCGCGAGGGGGAGCCAAUCCCAGAAAACCGAUCGUAGUCCGGAUCGCACUCUGCAACUCGAGUGCGUGAAGCUGGAAUCGCUAGUAAUCGCGGAUCA
This 281-nucleotide ribosomal RNA is filed under the name Burkholderia sp. BV47. RNAcentral describes it as "partial 16S ribosomal RNA". It matches the Rfam family "Bacterial small subunit ribosomal RNA", at positions 1064 to 1351 of the family's 1533-position model. Lineage: Bacteria; Pseudomonadati; Pseudomonadota; Betaproteobacteria; Burkholderiales; Burkholderiaceae. The record is from RNAcentral.